RNAcentral lists this long non-coding RNA (710 nucleotides) under Ananas comosus (pineapple). RNAcentral describes it as "long non-coding RNA (ACOM_LNC023838)". The record is from RNAcentral. Lineage: Eukaryota; Viridiplantae; Streptophyta; Magnoliopsida; Poales; Bromeliaceae.
AUCAAAAUUUUUUAAAUAUUGAAAGCAUGAAUCGACCAUACCAAUUCCGGUUGUUAUUUUGAAUCAAACAUAUUAGUUUAUUUUAUCAUUCCAUUUUCGAUUCCUAUCCACUUUGAUUUUUAUUCCAAUUUAAUUUUUGAUUUUGAAUCAAACACGCCCUUAAUAGUCCAUAUCAUAUAGAAAAAUAAUUAUGAUUAAAAAUAUAAGGAUAAUGGACUGCGGUACUAAUAACUAGACUUAAGCAUUUUGGCUUAAUGAUUUGGGCCCAAUAAAUUAUUAGUAUUAAUGGCUCGGGUAAUUAUAUUUGGUAUCAAAGCCGAAUAUCAAUCAAAAGUGUGAGAGUCAAGGGUGCGUUUGGUUCGAGCUAUCUUUUAAAGAUUCCGAGUAAUCCAAUAGGAAUAAAAAAAUAUGACUGCGUUUGGCUAAACGCACUAAGUAAUCUAGUUGACAAUAUUGGAUUCACUUGGGAAUAAGAUUCACCCCAAAGUACUAAUCUCAUUCCUUUGAGGAAGGAUGGGUAUCCUCGUAUUAAUGGAUUUGAGUAAUUAUAAUAUGUCUAAUCUCUUUAUUUCUCCCUACUCGCCGGCUAAUUGAUAUUAUUUUCUUUACACUCUAACCUCAUAUUUCUCUCUAAACUUAUUUUUCUCUCUAAAAUUUUUUUUUUCUCUCUCUAAACUAAGCUUUUUCUCUCUCUUUCUAAAAUUUCAAUU